AGUUCUUGUUCCAGCAUUUCACUGCCAAGUGCCAGAAGAAUGAGACUAACACCACAUCUACAGACACUGACCCUAGAUCACACCUCCAGGAGACAGGAGACAACAUCUUAACACUUUUCACCAUGCAUCCUCCUCUUGAAUCAGAGUGGACUAUUUGUAACUUUCGCCAGUGCAAUGUUGAAGAGGAACUCCCACCCUCGAAUGAACGGAGGAGACCUCCAUAAAUCCAGGGACUUGCACGGCAAAAGGCAUCUCAAAGACCAACUGUUGAUACCCUCUUGUUAGAGACAUACAGAGGUUAGGUGCCUGUCUCGAGGUCACAUGGCUAAGAUGCCAAAAUGGAAACUGAAAACCACAUUUUCUGACAACUUGACAUAUGCUCUUUCCAAGCCCCUUCUCUGACCACACUCCUGUAUGCUCUGUGAAAUGCAGAGAGGGAGAAGAACUUAACAUAAUCACCACAGAAAAGGAGGAUAGAGUUUCACGUCCAAAAAUGUCAAACCCUAAUUUCUUAGUAGGAUGAAAAUAUGAGAA
RNAcentral lists this long non-coding RNA (534 nucleotides) under Homo sapiens (human). RNAcentral describes it as "HSALNT0403556". Lineage: Eukaryota; Metazoa; Chordata; Mammalia; Primates; Hominidae. The record is from RNAcentral.